UACGGAGGGGGCUAGCGUUGUUCGGAAUUACUGGGCGUAAAGCGCACGUAGGCGGCUUUGUAAGUUAGAGGUGAAAGCCCGGGGCUCAACUCCGGAAUUGCCUUUAAGACUGCAUCGCUAGAAUUGUGGAGAGGUAAGUGGAAUUCCGAGUGUAGAGGUGAAAUUCGUAGAUAUUCGGAAGAACACCAGUGGCGAAAGCGGCUCACUGGACCAUAACUGACGCUGAGACACGGAAAGCCAGGGGAGCGAACGGGAUUAAGAAAC
Molecule: ribosomal RNA, 264 nt
Filed under: uncultured bacterium
Lineage: Bacteria
Description: partial 16S ribosomal RNA
Rfam family: Bacterial small subunit ribosomal RNA
Source: RNAcentral